GACGAACGCUGGCGGCGUGCUUAACACAUGCAAGUCGAACGAAGAGCGAUGGACGCUUGCUUCUAUCAAUCUUAGUGGCGAACGGGUGAGUAACGCGUAAUCAACCUGCCCUUCAGAGGGGGACAACAGUUGGAAACGACUGCUAAUACCGCAUACGAUCUAAUCUCGGCAUCGAGGAUAGAUGAAAGGUGGCCUCUACAUGUAAGCUAUCACUGAAGGAGGGGAUUGCGUCUGAUUAGCUAGUUGGAGGGGUAACGGCCCACCAAGGCGAUGAUCAGUAGCCGGUCUGAGAGGAUGAACGGCCACAUUGGGACUGAGACACGGCCCAGACUCCUACGGGAGGCAGCAGUGGGGAAUCUUCCGCAAUGGACGAAAGUCUGACGGAGCAACGCCGCGUGAGUGAUGACGGCCUUCGGGUUAUAAAGCUCUGUUAAUCGGGACGAAAGGCCUUCUUGCGAAUAGUGAGAAGGAUUGACGGUACCGGAAUAGAAAGCCACGGCUAACUACGUG
RNAcentral lists this ribosomal RNA (510 nucleotides) under uncultured bacterium. Its description in RNAcentral is "partial 16S ribosomal RNA". It matches the Rfam family "Bacterial small subunit ribosomal RNA", at positions 28 to 507 of the family's 1533-position model. The record is from RNAcentral.